UCGUUAUUCAUUAAAAAGAAAGCUGUUCAUUCAAAUGAUCUCACUAAUCGAAUACAAUCGAUUCAUCAACCAAAGAACAAUUAAAACCUAAACAUUUCAAUCCCUAAGUGCUUGUGAAUUUGGUAACCGCCUUAGUCCCCUCAGAGACGGCGUGUUUCGCGAGCUCUCCGGGCAACACAAGCCUAACCGCCGUCUGGAUCUCCCUCGACGUAAUCGUCGGCUUCUUGUUGUACCUAGCGAGCUUCGAUGAUUCCUGCGCCAGUUUCUCGAAUAUGUCGUUGAUGAAACUGUUCAUGAUCCCCAUCGCUUUACCCGAGAUUCCGAUAUCGGGAUGAACCUGCUUCAGGACCUUGAAGAUGUAGAUCUUGUACGUCUCCACGCUCUUCUUCGAUUUCUUCUUCUUCUUGUCGCUUCCUCCUUCCUUCGAGAUCUUCUUCUCCGCUUCUCAUGUUGUUCAGGUUGUGCAAGAGUAAGAUAAUGUAUGUCAAUUGAAAAUGAACUUAAGAAGGAAGUAAGAACUCGUAAAGUUUUUCUCGCAAAAACCAAGAAACAUUUUUGUUAUUUUUUAAUUCAUCACUUAUUUUGUAGGGAUAUAUUUGGGAUUUAUGAAGGUUGUACAGUAGAUUUUCAUAUACCUAAUUAACAUUAUUUUUUAGGUUAUGUAGUGCAAAUUCCUUAUUUUGAGUCAUUUGGGUGUAUAUACAAAAUGAUGUUGGUACUUAGGUAUUUGUGCAAAGUUCAAAAGUAUUUGCAUAAGUGGUAAGAGAAAUGGGGUAAGAUUACAAAUCAAUCCUUACAUUUCUAACAAUAGAUGUUCGAAACAAAAUAAUAAGAAAAUUAAUAGAACAUCGUAUGUCAAAUAUCAUGAUACUGCUACGUACAAAUCAGUGGUCACUGGUCACCAAGGGAACAACACCAUCCCUGGCCAAAGACGCUGGAGUCGGAGUCGGAAAAGGGAAUUUCUAAUAUGGAUUUUUGAGAAAGCUGUUUAUGAAACAGGUGGAAGGGUGUGUUGGAAAGUACACGAAACAUGAGAUUGGUGAGUGCGUAGGGAGGAUCUGGUGGUUCCGGCAAUUCAAGCGGUGAGAGCUUCAAGCGGCACAAGAGGAAACCAAAGCGUAGGUGGAUCGGGAGGAGGACAGAGACACGAUUGAGGAGAAGAGAGCACCGCCGCCAUGAAAAGGAGUAACUGAUUCAAGGGGGAUAGGCUGAGCAAACGAACGGAAGCUGCAAAGGAGAUCCAUGGAGGCGUCUCUCUUAGGAAGUGAAUCGAUUUGAAAAAGAUGGAAGAAAUUGCAGGGUCUUGAAGACAGUUAAAGAUUUUUUAUUCUCAUGUUGUUCAGGUUGUGCAAGAGUAAGAUAAUGUAUGUCAAUUGAAAAUGAACUUAAGAAGGAAGUAAGAACUCGUAAAGUUUUUCUGGCAAAAACCAAGAAACAUUUUUGUUAUUUUUUAAUUCAUCACUUAUUUUGUAGGGAUAUAUUUGGGAUUUAUGAAGGUUGUAUGGUAGAUUUUCAUAUACCUAAUUAACAUUAUUUUUAGGUUAUGUAGUGCAAAUUCUUUAUUUUGAGUCAUUUGGGUGUAUAUACAAAAUGAUGUUGGUAAUUAGGUAUCUGUGCAAAGUUCAAAAGUAUUUGCAUAAGUGGUAAGAGAAAUGAGGUAAAAUUACAAAUCAAUCCUUACAUUUCUAACGAUAGAUGUUCGAAAUAAAAUAAUAAGAAAAUUAAUAGAACAUCGUAUGUCAGAUAUCAUGAUACUGCUGCAUACAAAUCAGUGGUCACUAGUCACCAAGGGAACAACACCAUCCUUGGCCAACGACGCCGGAGUCGGAGUCGGAGUGGGAAAAGAGAAUUUUUGAUAUGGAUUUUUGAGAAAGCUGUUUAUGAAACAGGUGGAAGGGUGUAUCGGAAAGUACACGAAACAUGAGAAAGCUGUUCUUUUUUGAGAAAGCUGUUCUUUUUUUUCUUUAUCUUAAAAACAAAGAACAAAUAUGAAGUUUCUUGUUGGGUUUAAAUACUCUCGUGAACUCACUCAUGCUUUGACAAUUGAAUGAUUCAGUAAAAUUUACAAACUAAACAGUUUUCACAGUGAUCGUUGUCUUGUGUUAUUUACCAAUUAUAUAUUGUUCUUUUUCACUUCAGGUAAUUGUGAGGUUAUUCUAAUUUUCAUGAAUUUGUAGAAAAUGUUGCUGGAAAGUGGAAACAAAGUAAGAAAGAACUCAGCUAAGUUGAAUGCAGAGAAAAGUUUAAGAAUCAUUACUUUGUUGCAAAAAACAAUUUUGGAUUUUCUUUUUGUUUAAUAAUAGUUUUUUUUUUAAAAAAAAUUGUUAGAGUGCAUCAAAGAAUUGAUGCGCUUUAGGCGCCAUAAAACUCUGGACCGACACUAUUUACGAAAUAAUGAGCUACUUCUUUUAAGAACAUUACAAUACGUACAUGGCUUAUUUGUAUCGAUGGCAUUGGUCCCAUUGAAAUUUAAAAUGCAAUUAAAAUAAGAGCCAAAAACCCUUAGGAAGUGGAGAAGCGAACGUAGUAGCAAUGCUUUAACACCGUCUCCAAUGGUAUACAAAAAAUUAAUCUAUAUUACACACUAAAAUAAAAUAACUCAAAUAUAUAGUUGAAUUUACUCUAAUUGUUCACUUUAUAAUAGAAUUACUCUAUAAUAGAGUGAAAUAUAGAGUAAUAUUGUUUUUUACUCCAAAUAUAGAGUAGAAAAUAAACAUUACUCUAUAUUCCACUAUAUUAUAGAGUAACUCUAUUAUACAGUGAACCAUUGGAGCAAAUUCAACUCUAUAAUAGAGUUACUUUAUUUUAGUGUGAAAUAUAGAGAAAUUUUUUGUGUCCCAUUGGAAGUGCCCUAACCCGGUGGUACAAUUAUCAUUUUUAUCACCUUUUUAACAUCCAUAACACAAUAAAUGAGUCCAUUUUUUAUUAUUUAUUCAAACUUAAAAAAUGAAAAAUUUUAAAACUUUCUUGUACCAAAAUUCUAAUUAGGUAAUCUCUAAACGUCACAUUUCUCUCUUUUCUCUAUAUAAGAAAUUUUACUCUUUUUUCAAUCGAACAAAAGAAUAAUUUGUUAGAGCUUAGUUAUUAACUUAUUAUUAUCAUCCGACAACCAUCCAAGAACGAGUUUAAAGAGUUUUCUGGUAAUUUUUUCUAUGAAUAAAAAAAGGAUGGUCAAUGAGGUGUUUGUAGAUACCCAAAAGAGUUAGUAAGAGCAAAAAAAAACUUUCAAACACACAUGCUGGAGUUUAAGCAAUAGGAACUUUAUGGCGGUCAGAACACACAUGCUAGAGACUGGAGUAGAUAAAAUAGUGAGCUUGGACCAGGAACCAGUCUCUUGUUAGGAACUCUAACCUUUUUAAACACUGUUUAAUUCAAACUUCAAAGUUCUGAAAGUACAAACUCAAAAGAAUAUUAGCAAAUACUCAAGGGUCGGUGAUAUAAAUAACUUCAAACGAGCAAAAAGAAACAACAAUCAAUAAUAAAAAAAAAGGUCCAAGCAACAUGCUGGUUUUUAUGGACCAAUUUCAUGGCAUCUAUUUUUCAAACUCCAACUUCCUCAGUUAGCAAAGUUUGUAAUCAAAAGAAGCACUACUUGCGAUCUCCAUACAAGUACGCUGAGUUUACUGAGACAAUUCCAAUGGUCUCCACUCAAUUCUUCCGUUUAGAAUAUUUUAUAAAGCACAAACAAACUGUCUGGAGAAAAUAUGAAUCUCUUGCUUAACCCUCGUCCCAAAAUAACAAGCUUGAAGCAAGAAGAAUCACCAAACAAUUUUCAAACGAAAGCAAAGGGGAGGCUCAAGAUGAAACAAACAUACGCACAAUGAUACACCAGAAACAAUAUGUCACACUAUUGCGUCGCAGAAUAAUCACCCGAAACGUCAAAAACAAGAAAAGACCGACCAUUGGCUAAAUGUCCGAGAACACAGAGAGAUUACGAGCUUCUUCUUCGAUUAGCUAUGUAAAACCGUGACUAGCAAAAUGCAGAGAGGGUAAAAAGAAUCGAGAAAUGAUUGGAGGCAGCAAGCUUCAACUAAGAUUACCAUGCCAAUCACUCUUUUCAAGAGGUUUUAACCGAUUCAGACAUAAACCAGACGGAUAAUAAUUCAACUAAGGAGUUAUUUAAUCAAUCACAGGCAGAGAAACACUACAUUCAUCAAACUAGGAAGAAUCAGAUUCACCAUAUCCAAAAAGAGCAAACCACAGGAACAGACCAAACUUAUUUCAGAAGAUGGAUCUAGCGACUAAAAGACUGGUCAAUCAAUAUCCCAAGAUAUUAUGUGGCCUGUUCAAACAAUUACCGAAACCAUUGGGAUCAUGAAACAAACCCAAGAAAAAAAUUAAUCAGGUAACUGUAGAAUUAAAUCUGAAUCAUAUUGAUAGAGAAUCGUUAUUCAUUAAAAAGAAAGCUGUUCAUUCAAAUGAUCUCACUAAUCGAAUACAAUCGAUUCAUCAACCAAAGAACAAUUAAAA
This 4470-nucleotide long non-coding RNA is filed under the name Brassica napus (rape). Its description in RNAcentral is "long non-coding RNA (BNAP_LNC015837)". The record is from RNAcentral. Lineage: Eukaryota; Viridiplantae; Streptophyta; Magnoliopsida; Brassicales; Brassicaceae.